Molecule: non-coding RNA, 375 nt
Organism: Eublepharis macularius
Lineage: Eukaryota; Metazoa; Chordata; Lepidosauria; Squamata; Eublepharidae
Source: the annotation of a RefSeq genome assembly
AUGGAACACUUAUUUGCUUUGAUGUUGAUCUUCAUCAGUCCUUCAUGUGUCUUCUCCCAAGUCAAACUGGUGGAAUCUGGCCCAGGAACAGCCAAGCCUGGAGAGUCUAUCAGGCUGACCUGCGCCGUCACAGGAUACUCCAUCUCUAGUGGCUACACCUGGAGCUGGAUAAGGCAGCCCCCUGGCAAAGGCCUAGAAUGGUUAGCAGCUAUUGAUUAUGAUGGCAGCACUUACUAUGCACCCUCUCAUCAAAGCAGGAUUUCUAUCACCAAAGACGAUGGCAGGAACGAGUUCUAUCUGCGGAUGUCCUCCCUGAGUAUUGCAGACACAGCCACAUAUUACUGUGCAAGAGGCACAGCGAGAGAACUGAACUGA